This is a long non-coding RNA of Cynocephalus volans (Philippine flying lemur), 1524 nucleotides long. RefSeq lists it as uncharacterized. Lineage: Eukaryota; Metazoa; Chordata; Mammalia; Dermoptera; Cynocephalidae. The transcript has 4 exons. The record is from RefSeq and is a predicted model, not a curated record.
UCGGCGGCUGCUUGGAGACGUCGGUAGCCCGCUAUAGCGCCCGCCGCCCUGCCCGAGCGAGCCUGUCUGUGCGAGAACGUGAAGGAGACGUCUGCUUCUUUUCCGUUUUUGACCGUAGGUGUAAGUAACACAGCUCAUAGACGUGUGUGCUGAAUAAAGACUGUUCCUACUUCAACCAAGCCUCCAAGGACCUUUUUGCUGGUUACCUAGCUCGUAGACCUGCGUAUGAAGGGUUUGUGAACGGGCUCGAGAGGUCUAUGAGCUCCAGACUCUAGCCCUAGCUCCACAAUUGGUGUUGUUGGCAGGAUUACGCUACAAUUGGCAUAGUCGGUGCAGGAUUCUGAGCAGGUACAGGAGCCAAGAAGACCUUGAAAAAGGAGGAAAUGUGGCUACUAUUGAACAUGUCAUGCCCUGUGACCACUUUCCUGUUGACUGGGAUCUGGUUGCUGCUCACUGUAAUGUAAGGCAGCAUAGACCAUGCGCUGAAGCGGAAAGCCCCUUGAGAGGGGGAGGAAAUGUGGCUGUCUUUGAGCGUGUGUUGCCCAGUGGCCACUUUUCUGCUGACCGGAGCCUGGCUUUUGCUCACUCUGCUGCAAACUGAUCAAGAUUUGAAGCAGAAAGCCAAGUUGUUGGCGGAUGACAUGCAGCUACUGGAAGAUUCAAAGUGGAAAGCAGAGUUGUUGGAAGCUCAAAUAGAUGUCCUGGAGGACGACAUGCAGUGACUGGCCACUUCUGCUUCUCAUGCCAGGGAGCACAACUAAUGCAGUGAUUUAACCCAGGCAGCCCCAAUGCUCCUAAGUCAUUUGGAACAAUGUGGGUGGUCCAUGAACACAGCCAGGGUGCAAGGACCUGGGCUGUCAGUCAGAUUCCUGGGAGUGGUCUGGUCAGUGUUGUGGCUGCAGGCACUGCACCAGAGUCGACAGGGUACACACAUAUGUUGGUGUGAUCAUCUACUGAAUAUGCACUGAACUUCAUUCACAUCAGUAUGACUACAAGAUUCCCAUGGAAAAUCACACCAAUGAUGACUACCCGGACAUGUGCGGGUAAAGGACAGAACUACAGGACAAGCCUUAAGUACACACCUUAAGGCAUAUUGAACAGACAAUAGGUUGUAUAAAUAAAAGGGUCAUUUAUCCUUGCUAAAGGAACAUCACAGAAGUUUUUUAAUGCAUAGGUUGUAUGGCAAGGGACCCUGUAGGGAUGGAUUGUAGGGAAAAUAGAAUUUAGUCAGGCUCCCUCGGCUCAGGUCUGGCUGUGGGGGGGGGGGUCGAGGAGCACAUUUCUUGUAAAUAGGUUGUGUGUGGGUGGAGUUAGUGCGCAUGUGCACCAAUCUAUCUUUUUAGUUUUGUAGCUAUUGUGUGUUCUGCAGUUUGUGAAGUAGGCUGGGGGCAGAGAGCUCAUGUCUCAAAAUAGAGCAUGUUUACUCUGCUUGGCAGCUGCUCAGUUUUCAGUUUUACUUUGGACCUUGCUGGUAGCAGUUGAGUUUCUGAGUUUCUCUUGGUACUGCCUAGCUCUUAGAUUUGU